Triplophysa dalaica is the source of this 400-nucleotide long non-coding RNA. RefSeq lists it as uncharacterized. Lineage: Eukaryota; Metazoa; Chordata; Actinopteri; Cypriniformes; Nemacheilidae. The record is from RefSeq and is a predicted model, not a curated record. The transcript has 3 exons.
GUGGUACGUAAGCAAUUACGCAGACGCACACUCGAGUAAGUCAACAGGUGAAGUUAGAAGUAUAGCUGAGUGACGAGUGUAAAGGCCUGUUUCUUUAAAUCACAGAAGAGUUCAGACAUGAGUAAUAUAGACCCAUGCAGAAAAAAAACAAAUGAAGAUACUGCAGAACAAAGAGACCUAAUGAAACUUGAAAAAACAUUGGGAUCAAAAAUAUCUUCUGGUUGUUUUCAAAAGCAAAAUAAUUUCCUUCCAAAAAGAAAGCAAAAAAUGGAAUCCCGGAAAUCUUUUACUUGCUUUCGUUGUGGAAAGAGAUUUGGAAGUAAAGGGACCCUUGUGAAGCACAAAAGAACUCACACUAAAGAAAAUCCUUUCACCUGCACUCAGUGUGGAAAAGAAUUCA